UCCUACGGGAGGCUGCAGUGGGGAAUAUUGGACAAUGGGCGCAAGCCUGAUCCAGCCAUGCCGCGUGAGUGAUGAAGGCCUUAGGGUUGUAAAGCUCUUUCAGUAGGGAAGAUAAUGACGGUACCUACAGAAGAAGCCCCGGCUAACUUCGUGCCAGCAGCCGCGGUAAUACGAAGGGGGCUAGCGUUGUUCGGAUUUACUGGGCGUAAAGCGCACGUAGGCGGAUUGUUAAGUUAGGGGUGAAAUCCCAGGGCUCAACCCUGGAACUGCCUUUAAUACUGGCAAUCUAGAGUCCGGAAGAGGUGAGUGGAACUCCGAGUGUAGAGGUGGAAUUCGUAGAUAUUAGGAAGAACACCAGUGGCGAAGGCGGCUCACUGGUCCGGUACUGACGCUGAGGUGCGAAAGCGUGGGGAGCAAACAGGAUUAGAUACCCGGGUAGUCCU
Molecule: ribosomal RNA, 443 nt
Filed under: uncultured Devosia sp.
Lineage: Bacteria; Pseudomonadati; Pseudomonadota; Alphaproteobacteria; Hyphomicrobiales; Devosiaceae
Description: bacterial SSU rRNA
Rfam family: Bacterial small subunit ribosomal RNA
Source: RNAcentral